AACGAACGCUGGCGGCAGGCUUAAUACAUGCAAGUCGAGCGGGCACUUCGGUGUCAGCGGCGCACGGGUGCGUAACGCGUGGGAACAUGCCCUUAGGUACGGAACAACACAGGGAAACUUGUGCUAAUACCGUAUAAUAUUUCCGGAUCAAAGAUUUAUCGCCUAAGGAUUGGCCCGCGUUAGAUUAGGUAGUUGGUGGGGUAAUGGCCUACCAAGCCGACGAUCUAUAGCUGGUCUGAGAGGAUGAUCAGCCACACUGGAACUGAGACACGGUCCAGACUCCUACGGGAGGCAGCAGUAAGGAAUAUUGGACAAUGGGCGAAAGCCUGAUCCAGCCAUGCCGCGUGAGUGAUGGAGGCCUUAGGGUUGUAAAGCUCUUUUAGAUGGGAAGAUAAUGACUGUGCCAUCAGAAUAAGCCCCGGCUAAAUUCGUGCCAGCCGCCGCAGUAA
Molecule: ribosomal RNA, 449 nt
Filed under: uncultured bacterium
Lineage: Bacteria
Description: partial 16S ribosomal RNA
Rfam family: Bacterial small subunit ribosomal RNA
Source: RNAcentral